GAUGAACGCUGGCGGCGUGCCUAAUACAUGCAAGUCGAGCGAACGGACGAGAAGCUUGCUUCUCUGAUGUUAGCGGCGGACGGGUGAGUAACACGUGGAUAACCUACCUAUAAUACUGGGAUAACUUCGGGAAACCGGAGAUAAUACCGGAUAAUAUUUUGCACCGCAUGGUUCAAAAGUGAAAGACGGUCUUGCUGUCACUUAUAGAUGGAUACGCGCUGCAUUAGCUAGUUGGUAAGGUAACGGCGUACCAAGGCAACGAUGCAUAGCCGACCGGAGAGGGUGAUCAGCCACCCUGGGACUGAGACACGGCCCAGACGCCUACGGGAGGCAGCAGUAGGGAUUCUUCCGCAAUGGGCGAAAGCCUGACGGAGCAACGCCGCGUGAGUGAUGAAGGUCUUCGGAUCGUAAAACCCUGUUAUUAGGGAAGAACAUAUGUGUAAGUAACUGUGCACAUCUUGACGGUACCUAAUCAGAGAGCCACGGCUAACCACGUG
This 497-nucleotide ribosomal RNA is filed under the name uncultured bacterium. RNAcentral's name for it is "partial 16S ribosomal RNA". It matches the Rfam family "Bacterial small subunit ribosomal RNA", at positions 28 to 507 of the family's 1533-position model. The record is from RNAcentral.